This 253-nucleotide ribosomal RNA is filed under the name uncultured bacterium. Its description in RNAcentral is "partial 16S ribosomal RNA". It matches the Rfam family "Bacterial small subunit ribosomal RNA", at positions 524 to 776 of the family's 1533-position model. The record is from RNAcentral.
UACGUAGGGUGCGAGCGUUGUCCGGAAUUAUUGGGCGUAAAGAGCUUGUAGGCGGUUUGUCGCAUCUGCUGUGAAAAUCCGAGGCUCAACUUCGGACUUGCAGUGGGUACGGGCAGACUAGAGUGUGGUAGGGGAGACUGGAAUUCCUGGUGUAGCGGUGGAAUGCGCAGAUAUCAGGAGGAACACCGAUGGCGAAGGCAGGUCUCUGGGCCACUACUGACGCUGAGAAGCGAAAGCAUGGGGAGCGAACAGG